RNAcentral lists this ribosomal RNA (494 nucleotides) under uncultured bacterium. Its description in RNAcentral is "partial 16S ribosomal RNA". It matches the Rfam family "Bacterial small subunit ribosomal RNA", at positions 28 to 507 of the family's 1533-position model. The record is from RNAcentral.
GACGAACGCUGGCGGCGUGCUUAACACAUGCAAGUCGAACGGUGAAGCGCCUUCCUUUUUGGUGGGUGUGGAUGAGUGGCGAACGGGUGAGUAACACGUGAGUAACCUGCCCCCUUCUUCUGGAUAACCGCAUGAAAGUGUGGCUAAUACGGGAUAUUCUGGGUCUGUCGCAUGAUGGGUCUGGGAAAGAUUUUGUUUCGGUGGGGGAUGGGCUCGCGGCCUAUCAGCUUGUUGGUGGGGUGAUGGCCUACCAAGGCGGUGAUGGGUAGCCGGCCUGAGAGGGUGGACGGUCACACUGGGACUGAGACGCGGCCAAGACUCCUACGGGAGGCAGCAGUGGGGAAUAUUGCACGAUGGGCGCAAGCAUGAUGCAGCGACGCCGCGUGAGGGAUGGAGGCCUUCGGGUUGUGAACCUCUUUCGCCAGUGAAGCAGGCCUGCCUCGUUUGUGGGUGGGUUGACGGUAGCUGGAUAAGAAGCGCCGGCUAACUACGUG